GACGAACGCUGGCGGCGUGCUUAACACAUGCAAGUCGAACGGAAAGGCCCUGCUUUCGUGGGGUGCUCGAGUGGCGAACGGGUGAGUAACACGUGAGUAACCUGCCCUUGACUUUGGGAUAACUUCAGGAAACUGGGGCUAAUACCGGACAGGAGAUCCUGCUGCAUGGUGGGGGUUGGAAAGUUUCGGCGGUUGGGGUUGGACUCGCGGCUUAUCAGCUAGUUGGUGGGGUAGUGGCUGACCAAGGCUUUGACGGGUAGCCGGCCCGAGAGGGUGAACGGCCACAUGGGGACUACGAUACGGACCAGACUCCUACGGGAGGCAGCAGUGGGGAAUAUUGCACAAUGGGCGGAAGCGUGAUGAAGCAACGCUGCGUGCGGGAAGACCGUCUUCGGGGUGUAAACAGCUUCCGCCUGUGACGAAGCGUGUGUGACGGUAAUGGGUAAAUAAGCACCGGCUAACUACGUG
RNAcentral lists this ribosomal RNA (468 nucleotides) under uncultured bacterium. RNAcentral's name for it is "partial 16S ribosomal RNA". It matches the Rfam family "Bacterial small subunit ribosomal RNA", at positions 28 to 507 of the family's 1533-position model. The record is from RNAcentral.